RNAcentral lists this long non-coding RNA (3598 nucleotides) under Paramuricea clavata. Lineage: Eukaryota; Metazoa; Cnidaria; Anthozoa; Malacalcyonacea; Plexauridae. The record is from RNAcentral.
UAUCUAUCUGUUUUAUAUUUUGUAUUUUAUAUUUUGUAUUUUAUAUUUUAUAUUUUGUAUUUUAUAUUUUUGUGUAAUGAUAAUGCUCUUAGACGUGGGAUUAUAGUCAUUUAGUAAUACAAAUUGUGAUAUUUAACAACAAUACAUAUGUCAAAACAUGAUUACAAGCUAUAGAGACAUUGUAUUUUGACUACGCGAAAUGUGUGUUACAUACUGAACGCUUGUUUAAAGAGCAUUAUCGCGCGCUUAAUAAAUCACGCAAAUCCUUUGUGGCCAAAUUGGGUGACGGAAAGUGCGGUUUCUUGGGGGUAAGGGCCCCCAGAAAAGCUGGAGAAACAACAUCAGGGUGAGAGUAAGGGCCCUCACCGUUAUGGACAUUGAAUCUCAUGUCCGAGCCGGGCUUCCCCGUGGUGAAGUGACCGAGAGAUGCGAAGAUCAGGACGAGGGUAAGGGCCCCUGCAGUUAUGGACCUUGCUCUCUUUUGCCGGUGUGUGCUUCACCGUGGGCGAAGUGUGGCCGUGUGGACACCACUUUCCGUCCCGCUUUCUUUAUUUCUUCUUGAAUGUAGAAAAAUAUUUACAAGCUGAUCAAACAGAACAAAUAAGAUAUGAUUACAAUUGAUUUCUUAUAUUUAAUUAAGUUCUAUAGUUCCUGAUUAUUGGGAUGCUUCUUCUUCAUCCAAGGGUUGGGUGGGUGGGUGGGAUUUUCCUUCUAUGUUGUCUCGAAGACCGUUGAAACCAGAGUGAACUGAGAUAAAAUUUGGCUAGCUUUUGCUGAUAACUGAAGAAUGUCGGCUUAGCAAAAUGGAAUUAUAUUGACAAUUUGGCAUUGACACAUGGCAGGUGUUGCCCGGAGAGCAAGGCGGUUGUUUUCUUUGCUUAUCGUUUCCGUUUAGUUUUCGGUAUGGAUGUUGCCUCUUAUUAAUUCUAAUUUAUUUUUUAAAAUAAAUUGCUCCUUAAUAAAUCACGCAAAUCCUUUGUGGCCAAAUUGGGUGACGGAAAGUGCGGUUUCUUGGGGGUAAGGGCCCCCAGAAAAGCUGGAGAAACAACAUCAGGGUGAGAGUAAGGGCCCUCACCGUUAUGGACAUUGAAUCUCAUGUCCGAGCCGGGCUUCCCCGCGUGGUGAAGUGACCGAGCGAUGCGAAGAUCAGGACGAGGGUAAGGGCCCCCGCCGUUAUGGACCUUGCUCUCUUUUGCCGGUGUGUGCUUCACCGUGGGCGAAGUGUGGCCGUGUGGACACCACUUUCCGCCAUUGAUCGAAACAAAGUGUAGAUCCCCCACGAGAAGCAUGUUGGUCGGGAAAAAUUAUAAAUAGUUAAUAUGAAGUAUUUAUAGUAUGGUAUAGAUGUAUGUUUUAUAGUAUGUAAUGAUGGCGUGCUGCGCAAAUAAGAUAUAUGGUGUCCACGAGAUACUAACACUUAUGCUACGGCUGGAUAAUCAGGGAGGCCAGGAAAAAACCUGCAGUACAGGAAAACCUGGGUAGGGCCAAGACCACCAGCAGCUCCCCACAUAGCUUUAUCUUUACAAAAUUAAGAAAUGUCAGUAUCGCGCUAGACACCACUAAGCUAUUCUGUUAACGCAUGCGUUAUUUGUUUUAUUGUUUUUGGUUUGUUUUCGUUUUCUUUUCUUUUUUUUUUGUUAUGAAACUACGCUUUUGAGCAUAAAUAAGGGAACUAAACGAUCAGAAUUAAUUUGUCGCAAUCCAAAGCAGAACGCCACCGUACAGUAGUAGUUCAGGUAAUAGAAUGUAGAUUAUGUCAUAAAUAGUUCAUAUAUACGUAGAGAGUUCAUAGCCAUUAGGACGUAGGAGUGAUCCAGAUUGGUGAUUGAAGGCGGAAACCAAGAUGGCGCAAAUGCUGAGAUCGUCUUCGUGUCCUUCCUUCGUUUGUAGCAGAAUGACUAAAAGAGAGACGGAGAAAAGCAAAAACUGCUCUGUGUAUAAUCAUGAGCUGGUCGAUAAUAGUUGUCUCAAUGCGCGAUGAAUAAAUUUGUACCGGGAUGCGAGUUCUCUUCUACCCCUUAAUUUGGCUUUGUCUCUGCGAGUGAUUAUAGUGAACUGUGAAGUAUGUUUUGUUCUAAUUGCAUGUGGGGUGUAUACGCGAUGGCAUAAAGUAGGAAAUAACCUCGGAAAUAACAGUGUAUAGUAUUAGGAAUUGUCUUGAUCUGGUGAAAUAUGCCGUAAACCUUUUCGUUUUGGUAGUUGGUACGCUAGCAAUAUAAGUACCUACUAUGUACAGUACUGGGUUUUGUAAGACGCCAUGCAAAUGCAGGUGAUCAUAAUGUCAUGCUGUAGUAUUUCAAUUAUUAUCUAGCGCUUGUGGUAUAAAAUGCGAAGAUCGCUGUUGACAUAUUUUGUGAGACUGGGGUUUUUGUACAGGAGAAUAUAUGUGUUGUAUUUUACAGUUAUAUGCAGACGUCAUGACGUGCAAGCAAUUUUCAUGCUUUCUAUAUAUUUACUAUUAAAUUUUCGAAAUCUCGGUCGCGCUAUUUCCAAUCUUUCCAGUGAGAAAUAUGCGGAAACCCAUGAAAGCGGAAUGUCAGUAAUAAAAUCGUCUAACCCAGCUGCAUAUACUUCAUGCGCUCUGCCGCGUCCAAAUACCGAGUGUGGCAGAAAUGCGGCUAUCUUUAAAACGGGGAACGGGGAAUGGGGGAAGGGAACGGGGAAGGGAACGGGGAAGGGAACGGGGAAGGGAACGGGGAAGGGAACGGGGAAGGGAACGGGGAAGGGAACGGGGAAGGGAAUGAGCGGGGAAUGGCCGGGGAAUGAGCGGGGAAUGGCCGGGGAAUGAGCGGGGAAUGGCCGGGGAAUGAGCGGGGAAUGGUCGGGGAAUGGCCGGGGAAUGGCCGGGGAAUGGCCGAAAUCGGGAAAAAAACUAACAUUUUGAAGAUUUUUGAUUAAAUAUUUUCAUGAAUUGUUUUCGUUGCGUUAUGGCAAAUGUAGCAUUGAAGUAAAUCGAAAUUACAGUAAUAGGAUUAGGCGACCGAAGCUAUGUUGUUUGUGUAAAUGUCGUCAAGUUCGUUUCGUUUCGUUGCGUUAUGGCAAGUAAUCAGCCGGACCGCACAUUGUAAGUAUAUACAACGCAAGACAAUAGACCUUGUUAUAUAGUUUUUGUCAAAGUUCAAUUUCUCUGUUCGACGAUUGAUCAAAACCGUAUCACGUAACAAUAGAGAGGUUUAAGAUACCCCGAAAGCACCACUGCCAAUUUCUUCAACAUGUUCUAGUGAUUCCCAACUAAAUGUGGGUAAACAGUGAUCUAUUUUUCGCCUUUUUAUUAGUGAAGGAAAUUUAAAGCUUCCCUGUACUCCAGACAUUUUGAAUGUCGGCAACCAAAAGCUGUUUGCUGACGUAUUACACUAUUUUAUCUCACCUUUUGUCAUUUGAGUAUGUGGCACUUUGGGCAUAGUUUUCAAUGUGCGCUUCCUAUCUAAGCACAAUGUAAAGCUUAGUAAGAAUGUAAGAUCAAAUUUCGAAAAAAUACUGGAUUGAAAUGUCAUCAUUACAAAUGAAAUUUUUAGCAUAGAACUGGACACUGUGGACAGCAAGAAUUUACCCGAAGGUUAAAAAAAUGUCGUGUGACACAAAUUACAUUUAAUGACAG